RNAcentral lists this ribosomal RNA (1152 nucleotides) under Klebsiella pneumoniae. Its description in RNAcentral is "partial 23S ribosomal RNA". It matches the Rfam family "Bacterial large subunit ribosomal RNA", at positions 1 to 1187 of the family's 2925-position model. Lineage: Bacteria; Pseudomonadati; Pseudomonadota; Gammaproteobacteria; Enterobacterales; Enterobacteriaceae. The record is from RNAcentral.
GGGUUGUGAGGUUAAGCGACUAAGCGUACACGGUGGAUGCCCUGGCAGUCAGAGGCGAUGAAGGACGUGCUAAUCUGCGAAAAGCGUCGGUAAGGUGAUAUGAACCGUUAUAACCGGCGAUGUCCGAAUGGGGAAACCCAGUGCAAUUCGUUGCACUAUCGUUAACUGAAUACAUAGGUUAACGAGGCGAACCGGGGGAACUGAAACAUCUAAGUACCCCGAGGAAAAGAAAUCAACCGAGAUUCCCCCAGUAGCGGCGAGCGAACGGGGAGCAGCCCAGAGUCUGAAUCAGCUUGUGUGUUAGUGGAACGGUCUGGAAAGUCCGACGGUACAGGGUGAUAGUCCCGUACACCAAAAUGCACAGGUUGUGAACUCGAAGAGUAGGGCGGGACACGUGGUAUCCUGUCUGAAUAUGGGGGGACCAUCCUCCAAGGCUAAAUACUCCUGACUGACCGAUAGUGAACCAGUACCGUGAGGGAAAGGCGAAAAGAACCCCGGCGAGGGGAGUGAAAAAGAACCUGAAACCGUGUACGUACAAGCAGUGGGAGCACCUUCGGGUGUGACUGCGUACCUUUUGUAUAAUGGGUCAGCGACUUAUAUUCUGUAGCAAGGUUAACCGUAUAGGGGAGCCGCAGGGAAACCGAGUCUUAACUGGGCGUUAAGUUGCAGGGUAUAGACCCGAAACCCGGUGAUCUAGCCAUGGGCAGGUUGAAGGUUGGGUAACACUAACUGGAGGACCGAACCGACUAAUGUUGAAAAAUUAGCGGAUGACUUGUGGCUGGGGGUGAAAGGCCAAUCAAACCGGGAGAUAGCUGGUUCUCCCCGAAAGCUAUUUAGGUAGCGCCUCGUGAACUCAUCUUCGGGGGUAGAGCACUGUUUCGGCUAGGGGGUCAUCCCGACUUACCAACCCGAUGCAAACUACGAAUACCGAAGAAUGUUAUCACGGGAGACACACGGCGGGUGCUAACGUCCGUCGUGAAGAGGGAAACAACCCAGACCGCCAGCUAAGGUCCCAAAGUCAUGGUUAAGUGGGAAACGAUGUGGGAAGGCACAGACAGCCAGGAUGUUGGCUUAGAAGCAGCCAUCAUUUAAAGAAAGCGUAAUAGCUCACUGGUCGAGUCGGCCUGCGCGGAAGAUGUAACGGGGCUAAAC